Molecule: non-coding RNA, 32 nt
Filed under: Drosophila melanogaster (fruit fly)
Lineage: Eukaryota; Metazoa; Arthropoda; Insecta; Diptera; Drosophilidae
Also listed under: 2 other names
Source: RNAcentral
CUUGACCUCGGAUCAGGUAGGGAUACCCGCUG